This 17926-nucleotide long non-coding RNA is filed under the name Solanum tuberosum (potato). RNAcentral describes it as "long non-coding RNA (STUB_LNC011864)". Lineage: Eukaryota; Viridiplantae; Streptophyta; Magnoliopsida; Solanales; Solanaceae. The record is from RNAcentral.
GCACACUACCUUGUCAAAACUCGAAUGCGUAGUGACCACGAAGAUCUAAGCUCUGCAGAUUCACCUUCCAGAAAGAGUACAGUGCCAUUCACAGAGUUCACUAAUACUCUCUCAACUUCUCAAACUGAUGAUAACAAAACUUUGAAGGGGGAAGAACGCACACACUGUGACGGUGAUGAUGCAAAUUGUGAUGAAGAAGAUGUCAACGAGUGAAACAAUGAUAAAAGAUAAGAAUGUUUUUUGCCUGACAAAGACUGAAAGUGGAAAAGACCCUAUAUGUAAAGCACAUAUUACUAAAUCAGCUCGGUUAACAGUAAGUUACCUUUUUUUGUUUGGAUAUAAACAUUUUGUAAGCAUUUCAAUGGUGGGAAAAGCUUGUAUUUUGCUCGUGGUUAUUUUGCAUCUUUGUUUGACUGAUUAUGAUAAUCGAGCACUAACUUAACAGUUUCAUUUUUGCCUCGAAUCCUUUGAAAGAAAAAUUACGACAGGUUUUUGCUUGCUUCUAAAAUUAUCUGUAGUAUUAGAAUCUAAUGUAGAAACUGUAUCUUUUACUAAGUAGUUUCCAGCUAAAUAAACAAAACCAUUCAACUCAUUGUUCACGAUCCAUUGUUUCAACGAAGGGAAAUUAAAGGAAACAGGUGAGUAACUCUGGUUCUUCUGCAUUUCCAUGUUUAGACCUCGGGGACGGAUGCAAGUAAAACCUUCUUUCUUUGAUAGCUUUCUCUUCUUCCACUUUAUUUAUCUUCUCAAUGGAUGGAGAAGCUCGUUUAUUCGGACGAGUUGAGGGACUUGGGAUGAUGAUGGGAUGAAACUGGGAAUAAGUGAUUUCUAUGUCUGGUCUUCGACAUUGUCUGCGAUGGUGGAGUUUUGAUAUAUUCGGCUGCUUUUGUGCUUUUGAAGUUUUGUUGUUGCUGCAAUUUUGGGAUUUACAUCACUACAUUCAGAUGUACCAGUUAAUCGUUGAACGACUUCUCGGAAGCAAGAUAAGUCUGCUUGUACGAAUGUUGUCAUGUCUUUCGAUAAGCCUGUACGGAUCGUUGUCAUUUUCAUGUGUUCACUGAUUUUUUAUCUGCAAAACAUUCUUCCUAAUUAGUUAUGCUUCCAUUUUCCUAGCCAGAAAUUGCCUAUGAUGAUAAUUCCACCAUUUACAUAUAUAAAAGAAAGGUCAAAAUCACACCUAAAGUAUCUCGAUUUUUUAGCUACGUACCUAAAUUAUUAGGCAUUUGAAUUUUCUACUUGAACGAUGAUGAUAUUUCAGGUAGAAAACUUGUGUGAUUUUGACCUUCCACUCUGCUAAAAUCAUGAAUCAUUCGACACAAAAAUACAAUUUAAACAAACAUCUUGGCUAAAUAUGACAAUUGACAAACAAAAUAGACUCAUAACAAUGGUUUUCGAAAAUUGUUUCAAACAACAUAUUUCAGUAAAACUUAGUCGCCACUAAUAAAGUAGACCAUGACUCUUCUAGCCAAAAAGUUUAGUUAGCUUUUGUUUUAAUAAUAAAUUACUAAUAAUUGAAUGCAAUAUAUGUUUGAAAAAAGUUAAGUAUAAUUGAUAUUUGCUCUGGUGGUGGAUUCUUAAAUCUUGUCCUUUAUCCUAUCCAAAAUUUUAGAGAGUAAAAGAAUCUUUAGUUAUUAACAAUUUCCUCAUAAAGGACCCUAGAUUAUUUGUCAAGGAAAAAAUAGUCCCUAGAUUAAUACAAGUCCUUUCAGAAUAACAACAAUAGUAAUAGCUAGUGACAGUAACACCAAAUAAUCCUGGUAACUUGCUUAUGUUCAUUUGUUAAUAGAUACAUCUUGUACUAAAUAUUUAAUUUCUUUUCACUUUUCAAUUCUUUUUCCUUUUUGAUUUUGGUAAUGUAACAAGUAUUAUACUCUACGCAUGUGAUUACCAUAAAAUUCAAAUAUAACAGCUAGAGUAACUGAUUUUGCUUUCAUAACCAUUUUGGAUUUGAUCAUACUUUCAUUUUUCUUGUUGUUUGGUUUGUUUAGUAUUGAGGUUACAGUAAGUAGAAAUAAAUAAAUAUAAUGUUAAUGAUGCUUUUUUUUAGGACUUUCUGGAAAUUAUUAACUUAAUUUUGUCAUCUAAACAUUUUGGUCGUUCGUAAAUGUCCAUGUCCUGGAAAUGUGGACCCAUAAGUAUUUGUUGGACAGUUCUCAUAAGUUAUGUACAAUAAUCUCUUGAAAAGUGAGCUAGGACAUAAGAUCAUAGUUCCAAUAUCAUUUUGGUGGUCUCACAUAGUGACAUAGAUUAUAUUCAAGCUUUCCAGUCGUCUCGGACAAAAGUUUUUCUUUUAUCUCUGCAAGUGUGGAUGACUUGAGUUAGCCUCAUUGCGUCCUGGAUUUUGAAAAGUGUUCUGUUUUCAGCACAGCUAUACCUGAAAGCAAGCCAUUGAAGCGCUUAGAGGUUUCACAGAGUUUAAAGGAUCUUAUGGGCUACACUCUCGAGGUCAAACCAUCUCAAACUCCACAUGAGGAUGCUGGGCAAGGUUUAUUCAUACAUGGUGAAGCUGAUGUUGGUACUGUGUUAGCAUUCUAUCCUGGUGUAAUAUACUCUCCUGCAUACUACCGCUAUAUUCCUGGAUAUCCAAGAGUUGACGCCCAAAAUUCGUAUUUGAUCACAUGGUAUGAUGGAACUGUGAUAAAUGCACAGCCCUGGGGUGCUGGUGGUGAAUCUCGAGAAAUAUGGGAUGGAUUGUCUCUUCCUGAACCUAAGCACAUCAUGAAAGCUGAUGGGAAGGGUUCUGAGCGAAUAUGGAAAAUGCUCAGUAAGCCAUUGGAUGGAACACGUCUAGGAGGCAACCAUGAAGUGCUGGAAAGGAGAAACCCUCUAGCCUUUGCUCACUUUGCCAACCACCCAGCAAGGGACAUGGUACCAAAUGUAAUGGUAUGCCCUUUUGGUUCAAAUCUUGGAAGUCUGGCAAGAAUGGAUUAGAUGUCCCUGUUCUAAAGACGCUUGUUAUUGUGGCAACUAGAGCAAUUAGUAAUGAAGAAAUUCUCCUGAACUACAGAUUGAGCAACUCAAAGCAAAGACCACCAUGGUACACUCCAGUGGGUGAGGAAGAAGAUCGAAGGAGGUGGAGCUAAGAUGAUAAUCAAUGGUGCAUGUUGAAGUAUACUAACCAUGAAAACAAGUGCAUUUCUGUAUACAGCACUAGGAGAACAGUGAGAACAUUUAUUUUGGUGACUAUAAUCUGGUUCACUUUUGGUUUUACAUCUUUUUGAAUAGUUUGCUUGUAGCAAUUAUGGCUAGUGGCCAAGUUAACCUGUUAAGAACAUGAUUUACUGAGCAGGAGAACAGAGCUACUAUGCUUUGAACUAACCGUGAAUUAUUCUUACAUGAGCUACAUAAUAAGCGGAAAAGGAAUCCAUCCUUGCUAUAGAAAAUAGUAAAUGUUAUUCUGGUUGCUUAUGAAAUAUGAGAGCCUUCAUUUUCUCAAUGAUUCUUGGAUGAUUUCUCCAGCUUCCUGUGUUUUAUAUAUGUUUCUUUAUAAAUGAUAGUACUUCACUAAUCUACUUUUACAGCCCACAAAGAUUUGAAAGCAAUGUUUAUGUAGCAAGUGUGCAUAGACAAAUGUAACAUCGUUUUUCUGCAUUUAUUAGUUCUGUCUGAAAGAAAGUGCAGGGGAGAAUUGUGAUUACAAAUGAGCAAGAAGUUUGUUGAUAUUUUGGCGUGGCCUACAUUUUGCUAGCAAUGGUAUUGCCUUGGGCAUAGUGAGUCCAGGUCCUCCAGUCAUGUCAACCAACUCUUCACUUACUCUCUCCCAUUCAAAGCACUGAAUAAGUGAUCCUAAUGCCAAACCAGCAACAUGCAUUGCCAAAUUCUCACCUGGACAUCCUCUCCUGCCAUAUCCAAAUGGCAUUUGUCUGAACCCAUCUCGUUGCCCUUUGAUAUCGAUAAACCUUUCAGGCCUGAACUCAUUUGGCCUGUCCCACAACUUAGCAUCAUUUUGUAUUGCCCACAAAUUCACUAGCAACAUUGUCCCUCGGGGUACACGAAAACCUCCAACAACACACUCAUCUGAGGACUCGUGUGGCACAAGUAAUGGAGUAGCUGGGCACAAUCGGAGAGUUUCGUUUAUGAUUCCAUGGAGAUAAGGGAGUUGAGCAAGGUCUGAAUCAUCAAGUAAUCUUGAUGACUCUCCAAGGUGAGUGUCUAUUUCGUUUUGAGCUUUCUUUAGUGCCUCAGGAUUGUUCAGAAGAAAUGAUAAUGCCCAUUCCAUUGUGCUAGCUGUAGUAUCAGUCCCUGCUGUUAACAUGACUAUUCCCAUGCCCCUUAUCACUUCAUCUGUGUAAUAAUCAGGCUCUGAAUCUUGGAGGGAUAAGAGAACAUCAAUCAUGGUGUUAUUCUUUUGCUCCCAAUGAGAUCCUUUUCGGCGGUUCUUGUGCUCUUCAAUCAAAUCUUGCAUGAAUUUAUCCCUCUUCUCCUGCAGUAACUUCACCUUAUUCUCAAGUUUGUUUACUCCUAUCCAUUUAAGAAGUGGCACAAAAUCUCCUAUAUUUGUUGCACCACUCACUUGGAAAGUUUCUAUAACAAUCUCUUUAAACCUCCUAGAUUCCUCCAAUUUCUCAGCAGAAUCACCAUAGUAUUUUUUCCCCAGCAAUCAUCAUCAUCAAGAUAUUCAGUAUCAUCUCAAAGAAAGCCGCUUUCAUAUCCACCACGUUUGUGUUACCACCACUGGUUUUCCCCCUUAGAAGGUGUUGCAGCAGAGCACGAACCUCAUCUCUACGGAUAUCAGCAAACAUUCGAACUCUGUGAGUGGACAAGAUUUCAAGAGUAGCAAUCCUUCUUAGGUUGCGCCAAUGUUGGCCAUAGGAUGCCCUAACAAGGGUGGUAUAGUUGUAACCAAGAUGUUUUCCAGCCAGCAGAUUCACACGAUUGGCAAAAACAAUGUCGUUUUUGGUGAAACAUUCCUCUACAAGAGAAGGGGAGGAGACAACCAGGACAGGACACGAUCCAAAUCGAAGGUAAAGCAAAGGACCAUGUUUUUUUUGAGAUGUUGGCUAAUGUUUUAUGAAGUGGUUUUUUCUUGAGUAGAUAUAAAUGGCCUAUAAUGGGAAAAGAGAUAAAGGGACUUGGUGGGAGAUUUUGGAAUUUUCUAAGGAACUUGUUCUUUAGAAUGUAAAGGAAAGUGAAGAUGAGUAUGUAAUAUGAAAUUUCCAUGGUUGAUGCAAAUACAAGCAAAGAAGACUUUUUGACAUCUUUGCUCACUUGAUCAUUAUUUAUACUAGGGAAAAGGGUUUGAUAUACCCUCAACUUUGUCAUUUGGAGCUGAUAUGUCCCUCGUUAUGAAAGUGGCUCAUAUUACCCUUACCGUUAUACAAACGGCUCACAUAUACCCCUACCGUUACAAAAUGAGCUCACAUAUAUCCUUUAUUUAACGGAAGUGAAAAAAUUAAUUUUAAACUUAUAUUUUUUACUUUUAAUUUUUUUUUAAAUCAUUUAGGAGUAUAUAAGAUUCUUCUAGGAAAGUUCAAGGUAUAUUUCAAUUUGUUUCAUACAUAAAUUAUUUUUUGACUUUUUUGAUUUUCAUUAUUUGAGUUUCUUAUUCUUAUUUUUUUUUUCAUUCCUUAGUGUAAGAAAAAAACUUAAAACUAUUUUUUUGUGGCUAUAUUAUAAUUUAAAAUAAUUUUUUUUCUCUAUAUUGUAAUUUAAUUUUUGUAUUUGAAGAAAAGAUAAUUGGUCAUCUAUAGUAAGUUUUACAAGAAUAUUAGUGAAACAUAAAUAAAUUUGACCAUCAAAAUAAUAAAUCUAAAUUAGUCAUUGAAAACAAAAGAAGUCAAAAACGUAUGUUUGAGGAGGAUUAAAUAUACCCAUAUGGGAUUAUAGUUUGUUUUUUUAAAAAAAAAAAAAUUAAACCAAAUUUAAUUUUUUUUCAUUUCCGUUAGAGGGAAAGUGUAUAUGUGAGCCAUUUAUAUAUAAGUAGGGGUAUAUAUGAGUCACUUUCAUAACGAGUGGUAUAUCAACUCUAAAUGAUAAAAUUGAGGGGUAUAUCAGACCCUUUUUCCUUUAUACUAUUGUUGUCUAGGUAUCAUUUGUGAAUGGCAAGAUGCCAACUGCUAAGCAUGCUUGUAUUGUCAAACUAGGGUGAAUAGAUGGCCCACCAACAUAGGUAGUGGUGCAGCGGUGAAACUGCUUCAUUCUUAAUUAGAAGUCUCGAGUUCAACCAGAAAUCUUGUUGGGAGUGUCACCCCUAGAAUGAGCUUUGCAGUAUGUGAUUCAAAUUUAGUUGAAGCUUCGACACCGGACAUGGGAAAUAAAAAAAUAAAAUAAAGAAUAGUGUGGGCCCAAUAUUAUGAAAAUUCAAACUAUUAAUAAGUAUAUUUAUCAAAAGGAAAAAAAGUUUGAUAUACCUCUUAACUUUGUCAUUUAGAGUUGAUAAUCACUCUUUAUGAAAAGGGAAAAUUAGUAAACUAGUCAAAUUUUCUAGCAUAAUUAUUAAAAACAUUUACACUUUAAAAUAAUUAUUAAAAAUGUCAAUAUUUAAACAAAUAUAAUGUAUCUUAAUAUAAGUUAUUUACCUUAUUUUUUUCCCUCAAAUUGGGCCCCACUUUUUACCCCAAAAAAACUCUAUUCCCACUUUUCACUCUCUACAUUUUUUACCCACAUUUUAUCCUCUCACAGAUUUUAAAUCCCACUAGUUUAGGUCUUAAUUAUUAAGAUUCCCAAUAGUUUCAAAUAUUACUUCCUCUACCAUAUUUUAUGAUUAGGAUACAUGAGUUUGAAUCCAUGAGAUACAUGUAUCUGUCAAAUUUUAAAAUUGAGAUACAAAAUUUAUUUAUUUAAAUUAAUUGGUUGUAACUUAUUUCCUUAAUUAGAGGAGUAAUUGAGGAUUUUCAAAAUACACAGAUAAUUAAUUUCAUUUUAUUAUUCUUUGAAAUAGUAAAUUCAUUAAUAUUAUUAAUAUAAGAUAAAAACAUGUAUAUCUUGGUAAUGUAAUUUGAUUAAUUUCAAAUUAUUACUCUUAAAAUAAUAAAUUCAUUAAUUUGAUGUAUCUAUUAUCAAUAUAUGAUGUAUCCAACAAACUAAACAUUUAGAUANNNNNNNNNNNNNNNNNNNNNNNNNNNNNNNNNNNNNNNNNNNNNNNNNNNNNNNNNNNNNNNNNNNNNNNNNNNNNNNNNNNNNNNNNNNNNNNNNNNNNNNNNNNNNNNNNNNNNNNNNNNNNNNNNNNNNNNNNNNNNNNNNNNNNNNNNNNNNNNNNNNNNNNNNNNNNNNNNNNNNNNNNNNNNNNNNNNNNNNNNNNNNNNNNNNNNNNNNNNNNNNNNNNNNNNNNNNNNNNNNNNNNNNNNNNNNNNNNNNNNNNNNNCAUUAAUAUCAUUGUGUUGUUAAAAAUCAUGUAUCCGAAAUUUAAUAGUGGAUACAUAUACAUGUUCAGAUACCCCAUUACUAAAAAUAUAACUCGGAUCUUAAUUAAGAUUACUACUUAUUUGAUACACAUGUUUCAAGGGCUAUAUCAAAUUAAUAUUGGUACUACCACAUCCAUAUCACAGUAACCAAAGAAAGUCUUAGAAGAACACCAGCAAACAAAAACUCUCUACAAUAUUCCCUUUGAUCCUUUUGUGCUGUGGCAUAACAUAAUCAAAACUAAGAUCCAUUUCUUUCGGAGACAAACAAUCAAGACCCACUAUGAAUUGAAAGUUUUCUUUGUAGCAGUUACUAUGAUGGAACUCGUGAUAAAUGAACAAUAUAAAAUAAUAUUUGAGUUCAAGAGAAUUUGUGGUGAUGAUAUCUUGAGAAGAAGAGAGUAGAUUAACUAUUGUUGAAAUGAAAUUGUAAGGUGAAAUUCUUGAAUUAGAAAGGAGGAGACAUAAUUGAGUGAUAAACAUGGGAGGGGAGAAUUAAGAGAUAGUGGUUGAUUUGGAGUGAAAGAGUUAUUUAAGCAGAUAAUUAAUCAAUAAUAGUUUUAAGGGAUGUGGGUAUCUAAUAGUAUUUUCAAAUAAUAUAUUAAUAUAUGGUAUAAAAUACUAAAAGUGGUAAUAUAUGUAAUUGUUUAAAAGUAAAGAUAAUAUUAGUAUAUAUAGUAGUGAUGUAUGUCUAAUAAGGUAGUUUAUCCUCUUUUUUUCCCUUAUUCAUACGUUUUUCAACAAUUCUCUUUCGUAUUUUUUUUUUAAAAAUAAAAUAAAAUUCUCUCUCAUCUAAUUUCCUCUUCCAACUGUUCUUCAUUUUUUCAUCUUCCGCUUCUCUCUCUUCCGUAGCUUUCAUUUUUUUUCACAAAUUCGUGAUUUGUUUACAUGUUUGAAAUUUUGUAGAUUGUAGUAAUCUACAUUGACAUUUAUACAUCAUAUAUUGUUUGAUUUUUUAUACAUUCAUAUUUAAUAAUUCAAAAUUUUGCUUAUAGGGUUACUAAUACACAAGUGAAUACGAUUUGGAUUUGGAUUUGGUGAACAAAAAAUGGGAAAAAAGGAACAUAGCAGACAAAGAAGAAGAAAAAAGAGAGAGUCAGAGAAGAAGGUUGCAAAAUUGUAUUCAUACCAGAAUCAUAUUCAUAUUAAUUUUUGUUUGUUAAUUGUUUUCUUUUACUCAACAUUUGUAUUUUUAUUAAGAAUACAGAUUCAGAUUUGGAUUUGGUGAACAAAAAAUCUGAAAAAAAGAACAUAGCAGACGAAGAAGAAGAAGAAAGAGAGAGUCAGAGAAGAAGGUUACAAAAAUUGUAUUCAUACUAGAAUCGUAUUCAUAUUAAUUUUUGUUUGUUCAUUGUUUUCUUUUACUCAACAUUUGUAUUUUUAUUAAGAACAUUGUAUUUCUUUUUUUAGUUUGUAGUCAUUCCAAUAGGUAUGCCAGACGGAUUUGUAAUUUCUAAGCUAUAUGUAUCCUAUUUUUUUCACAAUCAAUCUGUAUUUUUUUUAGAAUAUUGUAUCAUUCCUCAACAAACUGUAUUAUUUCCACUAUGUAUGCUAUUUUUUUUCCAGAAUUUUGUAUCCCUAUUUCAUUCACAAUCAAUUUGUAUUUAUUUUUAGAAUAUUGUAUCAUUCCUCAACAAAUUGUGUUGUUUCCACUGUGUAUGCUAUUUUUUUUUCCAGAAUCUUAUAUCCUUUGAUAAAUCAUAUUUAUAUGUAAUGAUUAGAUUAUAUUGGGAUACAAUCAGUAAUAUUUUUGUAAUACAAAUUAAAGAAAAAAAUAUUUGGUAGUGUCUGAGAUACAAUUUUUAGUUUUCAUUAUGAAAGUAAAAUACUAAUUUUAAUUUGAAUGGUAAAGUGAGCAAUACAUUAACUAAUGAGAAUUUUAAGUGAUAUGUUCCUUUUUUUUGUUAAAAAGUACUAUCUUCCUGAUUUUCUCCUUUCUGUUAUUAAAUAAUUGUAUUCUUGCAAAUCAAACAAAUAAAAAAAUACAUAAAUCAGAUACAUAACAAACUAAAAUAUUGACAUUUUAAAUAAAUAUUGAAAGUAUGGCUAAGGUUUCCUAUUAAAUAUCAAAAUAUUGACAUUUUGAAAAUUUUCCUAAAAUGUCUCAUAUAUACCCUUACCGUUAUACAAAUGACUCAUAUAUACCCUUACCGUUACAAAAGGAGCUCACAUAUACCCUUCAUCUAACGGAAGUGAAAAAAUAGUUUUAAAUUUAUUUUGUUGACUUUAAUUUUUUUUUAAAAUCAUGUAAGAAAUAUAUAUGAUCCUUCUAGCAAAGUUCAAGGUUUAUUUUAAUUUCUUUUCAUACAAAAAUUAUUUUUUGACUUCUUUGAUUAACAUUAUUUGAAUUUCUUAUUCUUUCUUUUUCUUUCAUCCUUUAGCGUAAAGAAAAAAAUUGAAACUAAUUUUUUUGCGGCUAUAUUGUAAUUUAGUUUUUAUAUUUGUAAAAAAAAUGGGGCAUCUAUAAUAAAUUUUACAAGAAAAUUAGUGAAACAAAAAAAAAAUUUACCAUCAAAAUAAUAAAUUUAUAUUAGUCGAAACAAAAAGUCAAAAAAAGUUGUGUGAGGAGGAUCAUAUAUACCUCAUAUGGAUUAUAUUUUUUUCAAAAAGAAUAACUAAAAACUUAAAUUUAAAUUAAUUUUUUCACUUCUAUUAGAGGAAAAGGGUAUAUGUGAGUCAAUUGUAUAACAAUAGGGGUAUUUAUGAGUCACUUUCAUAACGAGGGGUAUAUCAACUCUAAAUGACAAAAUUGAGGGGUAUAUCAAAUCAUUUUCCCUUAUCAAAAUGUUAGAGUAAAAAUAUGUCUAGUCUAUUUUUGUUUCAAAUAUAUGCAAUGCAUAGUCUAUUAAUGUUUAAAUUAUAUUUUAAACUCUCAAUUAUCUAGAAGUAAAGUAGAGCAUGGCAUCAUUAUUAAUGGAUUAAAGGUCUAUUAAAAUUGAACACAAGUUUACGUGUGCAAUUGAAUGUUUAAUGAAGAGGAAAGAAUGGACAUUUUUUGGAAUUGUUGAUAAGGUUCAAAUAACAAAAGCAAAAAAGACAUUUUUUUAAAACAAAUUGAUCUUGCAAAAUGUUUUAAGAUCACAUUACCCUCAAACUUUUUACUUAAUGUCCAAAAAAACUGACAUAUUGAAAUCGUAUCUUUUAAUUUAAUAUAUAUAAAAAAUAACAAUAAAGCAGGACAAUAUUUUUCAUUCACGUAUUUGAAAUUGACAUGUUAAAAUCAUAUUUUCUAAUAUAUAGAAAAACAACAAUAAAAUAGAAUAAUAUUUUGCGUUCACGUAUCUGAAUUUUUGUAUAAGUGAAUUCAUGGACUUUAUUGGAUUAUUUCUUCUGACUAAGCGUAUGAACCAUGAAUUGUUCUAAUAAGACAAUUUAGUCAAUCCUUUGUUUAAAAGAAUUAGUCCUUGUCUAUCUUCUCAAGUACUUUGGAAUUUCUAAAGGUUCAUAUGCUUAUUACACAUUUUCACAACUUUAUUAAAACUAAUUCUGGACACGUGCUUUGCAUGCGAGUCUCACGAAAAUAUUAUAUGGGGUAUGAGUUAUAUAUUAAAAUCACAUUGUGAAUUUACUUUCACUUUCGAUUGUAAUUUAUAAAUAUGUAAAAUUUAUUUUAAAGAAUUUAAAAAUAUUCUAUUUGAACUCAUGAAAUGACAUAAAAUAAUUAGAUAUUUAACCUAUUCCAAUCAUGAUUCAUAAGUAAACAUACAUUUCAAAAUGGUGAAUACAUGUGAAAAUGCUUUCUUGUCAAAAAUUCAAAAAAUAAAUAUGAAAUGUUUAUUUAAGGAAAUAGAAGAAACAUAUUUUUUUUUUAUUAAACUUACUGAUCAAAGAGAGCAUGGAAAAAUAAUUCUUUAGUGGCUUGACUUCAUCCUUGCAUUCAUUGUUUCACAAGUUAUGUUUUAUCAAAUAAUCCAUGAACAUCCCCAUAUAUAUAAUUGUUAACAAUUAUUUUGAAGUUGACAAUAAUAAUGUGAAAUAAGUGUCAUCAAGAUAACUCUUCAGUUUUGAAAUGCUUGGUCUUCCGCUGACAACCUACUCAAGCUAUUUCAUCCAUUGAGUGACUUUCUAUCUUCCAUUAUAUCUUUAUUACAUAAUAUAAUGCAUAUGUGAAUACCUUAGAAUUAUUCCCAUUUAUAUCUAGUUUAGUAUUUAGUUAUUAUAAUAUAUUUUUUAGAUUUUGUACAUAAAAAAAAUAUUUAAAUGAAUCCAACUUUGAAGAAUGAGUUUCCCACUUUUAAUAAUAUAUAUAUAUGAUGAUGUCCCAAGAAAAAAAAGAAUUCAAACAAAACGAUUUCCUCAAUAUAGCUUAACUCUGUCAAGUCUGUACGAGUAGUGAAUAAGUAUAUAUCUUCAUAGGACUAUUUGGAUGUACAAUUCAAUUUCGAUAGUAGUAUUUCAUUUCAGUUGCACAAGGUCAAGGCUUCCAAUUUAAGGAAUGAUAAACUUUCUAACUUUAUGAAUUGGUCUUCUGCACACUGGGCACAACCUAUUAUCAACAUCCAUGAUCCUGCAGGAAACUACACUCAUGAGAAUCUUCAUAACCUUUUUUUUUAAAAUUUGUGAAAAGUAAUUGAGACCUAUAUUGCUCGAACUUUUUAAAAAUGCUCCUAGUUGAUCCCGAAUCCUCUAAAUAUACUCUCUUUUGGAGGAUCGUACAUUAUUGAUGAAAUGUACACAUUCAUGAGAAGUAUGACACUUUUGGGGCUUGAAUUUAUGAAGCCAAUGUUGUACGUGUGAUUUUCCUCAAUUCUGUGUGCUUCUUCGAUACAUUUAACCGAUAUGGGAUUAGUUCAAGAUUGUAAGGAAUUCUAUUACAAUCAACUAGAAACAAAAGAAAACAAGAAGAGUGUUAACUCUAGCCAAGAGUUUGUAAGUUGCACGCGUUAUUUUCUUGUUUGUUACUCUGUCAGUUUCAAUUCAUAUGAUACUCUUUCCUUUUUGGGACGUUCCAAAAAUAUUCAACCAUUCUACUUAUGUAGAACUUUCAAAUACUGAAAUUCAUUCAUCUUACUAACUCUAAUGAAGUAUUCUCUUCCGUCAAUCUAAGUAUAUUAUAUAAGUCGUAUUAACAUCCUAAACUCACGGACAAGUCAAACACCAUCACAUAGUACAUUGUUAUAGAAAAUGUAUAAUUUUGCAACUUCAAGCUGUUACAAUCUGCAGUUCCUUUAAAUGAAGAAUCAAAAUGCACAACAUUUACUUUUGUUUAUUAUUAGUUAGGUAUAUCCUACUUAUAGUGCCGACUAAUUUAAGUAUUAAUGGUGAAUCAAGUUGCCACCAAAACCUCCUUUUAGUGGCAACUAAUAUAGGGAUGACCAAAAUUGUCAGUAAAAACAUACUUUCAUCUACAACUUAAAUAAGCAUUAGUACUUGACAAAGACUUCCUCAUAUUCACCUAAUUUAUAAAAAGAUAGUUCAAUGUAUAAAGUAUUAUGAGUUAGCAAGAUUCGAAGAAAGGUAAAUAGCGACGACAAUUAUGAGUAUUAACAGCGACUAAUUUUGCCACAUUUUUUUUUUUGGUGGCGACUGUUAUGAGUAUUAGCAGCGACUAAUUUGCCACUAUAAGUAUCUUUUAGUGGCGACUAUUCUUGUCACUAAAACACACUUCUAGUGGCGACUAUUAUAAGUAUUACCGGCGACUAUUCUUGUCACUAAAACUUAUUUUUAUUGGCGACUGGUAUGACUAUUAGCGGCGACUGUUCUUGUCGCUAAAACAUUCUUUUAGUGGCGACGGUUAUGACUAUUAGCGGCGACUAUUCUUGUCACUAAAAUAUUCUUUUAGUGGCGUUUAUUAUAGGUAUUAGCGGCGACUAUGCUUGUCACUAAAACACUCUUUUAGUGGCGAUUGUUAUAACUAUUAGCGGCGACUAUUCUUUUCACUAAAACUUACUUUUACUGGCGACUAUGCUUGUCACUAAAAACACUCUUUUAGUGGCAACUGUUAUAACUAUUAGUGGCGACUAUUCUUUUCGCUAAAACUUACUUUUAGUGAUGACUAUUAUAGGUAUUAGCGGCGACUAUGCGAGUAACUAAAACACUCUUUUAGUGGCGACGUUAUGACUAUUAGCGGCGACUAUCCUUGUCACUAAAACUUACUUUUAGUAGCGACUAUUAUAACUAUUAGUGGUGCUAUGCUUGUCACUAAAACACUCUUUUAGUGGCGACUGUUAUGACUUUUAGUAGAGGGAGUGUAGGAAAAAAAAAAUCAAUUUUGGAUGAAAAAUAAUUUCUAGAAAUCAUGGUGUAGAGAGAAACGCACUUUCUUAAACUUCGUGUAAAAUCAAAAUCAAACAAACAAAUUGAAACAUAUGAAAUAAUAUAGGAUUUUAUUUAGCAAAAGGGUCAAAAAACACACCUCUACUUUUGUUUAUUAUUAGUUAGGUUUAUCCUUCGUUAUACUAUCGGACCAAAUAUACCCUCAUUGUUAUGAAAGUAAAUGGACAAAAUUUCCCAAAGACUCCCCAUGAGCCACUUUUUCGAAGGGUCAGCUCAUACAUCGGUUUACCGAAAUAACCUCUGCUCUCCCACUUCCUUCUAUUCAAAAGGUAAGCAACCCUUGAACAAAAAUACCCAAUUUUAUAAACGAAAGUAGAAGGGUAUUUUAGACCAUUUUUCUUUUUAUGAAAAGGGUCAAAAAUACCCUCAAACUAUGUGAAAUAGACCACUUAUACUGUCCAUUUCAUUUUGGGAUCAAAAUACCCUCGCUGUUAUUCCAAGAGAUCACAAAUAUCCUUAAGAGUUAAUUAUCCAAUUUUUUAGUGAUGUGGCAAGCCACAUGAGACUAAUCUCUCCACCUAAGCAUUGCCAACUUGGAUUCACUACAAAAGAACUAAACCUUUAGUGGCGAUAAAAGUCGCCACCACAUCCCAAAAUAUUACCACUAAAGGUUAUGAGUGAUUUUUAGUAUAUAUUUUUUUUAUUGAAAAAAUAUGAUAAUUAAUUUUUGGUUGCAACUUAAUUUUCUAAAAUAAAUAACAUGCAUUGUCAAUAUUAAAAACAUCCAAUAUUAUUACGAAAAUCAUCAAAAUUACUUCUCGAUUCAAAUCUCCUACUACAUAUUUACAUAUGACAUAAAAAUAAAAUAUAUAGUGUCUCCAAACUCCUCCUUGAUCGAUAUCAUUUGUGAUUUUUUUAAAAUAAUGAAGAAAAAACACAAAAUUAGAAUUUAAUGUUAAAAAUCAGUUAAAACCUUUAGUGACGAUAUUUUGGGCUUUUGUGGCGACUUGUGUCACCGCUAAAGGUCUAAUUAUUUUUUAAUGAAUCCUAGUUGGCAAUGCUUAGGUGGAAGGAUUAGUCUCAUUUGACUUGUCACGUCACUAAAAAUUUGGGGUGUUAAAUCUUGAGGGUAAUUGUGAUCUCUUAAGAUAACGACGGGGGAAUUUUUUAUCUCAAAAUAUAACAAAGGAUAUAAGUGAUCUAUUUCGCAUAGUUUAGGGACAAUUUGACCCUUUUCUGUUCUUUUUAUUCAAUUAUGGGGUGUGAUUUUCCCUAUGGACCAAAAAGUGUAGUCCUAGUACCAAAAAAAAGAGAGGGAAACUCAAAAAUGGAGGGAACAAUAAUAUAUUUUUUUAAGAUUUCAAAACAAAUAAAAUGCUGAGCUGUUUCUACCCUUUAAACAUUGGCCAUCACUGUUCCCUAUUUCUGGGUUCGAUCCAAUAAAACUUCACAGUAACAUACAGAACUCAGAAGGGGUGUAGAAGGUAACAAUGGUGAAAGCGGGAAGCAAAAGAGGUGCAGCAGAUGAAGAAGAACCCAAUGACGGAGCAGCAGCAGGAGAUUAUGAGAAGCGAAGGGCUGAGAGAAUCAAAGAGAACAAAGAGAGACUACACAAACUUGGCAUUCUCGAGCUCACAAAGAACCUAAAUCCCCCUUCCAAGAAACUCACCACUCCCCGAAUCAGCCGCCAGGCGGUGUCAAUUGAUGACCCACCUCGCCGCUCUUUUAGGUAUUGAGUCUCAUCCUUCCUUAAUUAGAUAUUUUGGGUUCGAGUCUGAAAAUGAAAUAAAUUUUGCUAGCUCUAUAAUCGUCCUUGGGUGUCUCAAAAUCGAAUUAGUUGGGAGAUUUAAUGUAGUAUCCAACACCGGAUGAAAAAGAAAUUGGGGCUACAAAGGCCUGAUUUAGUGGCUGACCCUGAUUUUGAUUUUCCAAAAAAAGUAGGAGAAAAGGAUGUAUUGGGUUGGUUCUUAUUGCAGUCUUUAAUGGAUAUAAAAUGUUCCCUAUAUGCUGAAAUAUGUUUAGUCAUAGAUAUUUUGGUGUUUAAUUGGAAAUAAAUGUAAAUAACAACAUACUCCGUGUUUGAUAGAGUGCAUGUAAGCCUUACCACUACGAGUUUGAGGUAGAGAGGUUGUUUCUGAAAGACCCUUGUUCAAGCAAAUCAAAGGAAAAACAUGAUAGCUAAUAGAUAUGUUUGACUUAUUGUGAAAACGGAUAAGAAAAUUGCAAAGUUUUAUGUAUAUAUUUCAUGAAAUCAAACAAAUGCUCGUUUAUGCUCAGUUUGUGUAUGAUGUUUUGUUUUUCCUAUGGUCAUCUUUUUCAUGGAAUGUCUUGUGGAGAUGUCUUUCAUUAUAGUAAAACCUUGCCUUUUCUAGUCCGGAAAGAUCUUCUUUGUCGAAUGAUGUUUACAUGUUUUUAGGUUGAAGGAUAAGCCUCCAGUUAGUUACAAAGAAAAGACGAUUCCCAAGACGGAUAAGAUAUCAAAAGAGGAUGUAGAGAUUAAUAUAGGAGAAGGUGAAAACACUGAAUUCUACACAGAGGAACAUGAAAAGCUUUUAGGUGACUGCCAGAAUGCUUGGAAUCUCUGUGUUGAUGGCUAUGGUGAAGAUGGCCAGCGUGUAUAUGAUCCUGAUAAUGGCAAGUCAUGCCAUCAGUGCAGGUGUAAACCUUUGUUCUCAUCGUCUGUUUUAUGUUGUUCUAUUGCUUAUUUAUUUUUAAGGUACCGAUUUAUGCAAUACAUAGAAAACAAUUUGCAUUUGUGAUGUGUUUGAUUAUGAAAUAAGAUUUUCCCGAAGAUUAUUUGGAGUUUGAUUUAGUGCGUAUUUUUUCGUGACUUGCAAUGGACGUUUUUUGAAUGUAGCAAUGUGCAAGUCACGAAAAGAAUUGCAUCUUAUGGGGUAUCUUUGAAGUAGUUUUAUAAGUUGUUUGCUUCCAAAAUAAAUCAUUGUCAAGUUUUCUGGAAAUACGCUGUAUAUAUACAGAUUCUGCUGCUUAAGAUAUCUAAGGUGAAUUAUCAUUUAGUCAUAUCUGUUCCUUGAGCACAGUUUCUUAGAAUAUAUAUGGCUAAUUUAGGCCUCCUUUCAUGGGAUAGUAAAGAUGACCAAAACUAUGUUGUCUGAUCAGAAUAUCUCUUCUCCAUUUAGUAUGACUAAUUGAAGCUUUUCUUGUCAUUGUGGAAGCUAGGUUAAAGCAUGUUGUUUGUUAAGAUUGAAUAUAAUAUCGUUUUUGAACUUCUCGCAUGAAUAUUGUAAAAGAAAUUAGUCCACAAGCAUGCAUAUCAACUUGAAUAUUCAAAUGUGUAAUGUGCUGUAUUCAUCUAGAGUUGAGACCAUUUUAUUCAUGAUAUUUGUCUUAAAGAACUAGCAAAAUAGUUGUUCAUCAUUAAUGCAUUUUGCAGUGUUACUCUGAUUCGGCAUUUACUUUUUCCUAUCAGUACUCAGAAUUUUGUAAAACAAUAAGUUCUGCUGCCAAUUUCAUGAAAAAACAUCAUUCUUUCUAUGAUCGAAAUGCAGUCUACUAACCUUUGCUUGUUUCAAUUUAUUACUUGAUGUGAACUCCUAAAAAUAUUUGAUACAAUUGCAGGCAGAAAACUCUUGGUCAACGCACUGCGUGCAGCAAUUGCAAGCUGGGUCAAGGACAAUUCUGUGGAGAUUGUCUGUACAUGAGGUGAUAACUCUUUGAUUUCGUCUUAGCUUUUUUUCUGUAGUAUUCCCUUUAGUAGCUAACUUUCUAUCCUGAAUUCAUAUGACCGUAUUGGUGUUACUUCAAAACUACUGUUUCCGAUGAUCUUACAGUCCAUGUGAAAUGUCCACGGAUCUAAUAUUUGAGCUUGCACAUCAUGUAGGUAUGGAGAGAACGUCACUGAAACAAAUGAAAACGCAAAUUGGAUUUGCCCUGUCUGCCGAGGAAUAUGCAAUUGCAGUCUAUGCAGGCGUGCAAAGGGGUAUGCAGCAACUGGUGCAAUCUACAGAAAGGUGAACCUCUUUGGCCCUUUUAUGCUUGAUUCAUUCCACCAGUAAAGUCUAGAUCGCUUGUCUGAUAAUUACAAAGAAUUCUCUUUUUAUGUAUAUUUAAGUUUGAGUUGAGGAUAGAGAUUUUCGGGAUUGCAGCAUUCAAUUCUAAGGAAGUUAACAUGUUUACAGGUACUGCGUCUUGGUUACAAAUCUGUGGCACACUACCUUGUCAAAACUCGAAUGCAUAGUGACCACGAAGAUCUAAGCUCUGCAGAUUCACCUUCCAGAAAGAGUAUAGUGCCAUUCACAGAGUUCACUAAUACUCUCUCAACUUCUCAAACUGAUGAUAACAAAACUUUGAAGGGGGGAGAACGCACACACUGUGACGGUGAUGAUGCAUAUUGUGAUGAAGAAGAUGUC